This 484-nucleotide ribosomal RNA is filed under the name uncultured bacterium. RNAcentral's name for it is "partial 16S ribosomal RNA". It matches the Rfam family "Bacterial small subunit ribosomal RNA", at positions 28 to 507 of the family's 1533-position model. The record is from RNAcentral.
GUUGAACGCUGGCGGCAGGCCUAACACAUGCAAGUCGAGCGGAUGAAGGGAGCUUGCUCCUGGAUUCAGCGGCGGACGGGUGAGUAAUGCCUAGGAAUCUGCCUGGUAGUGGGGGAUAACGUCCGGAAACGGGCGCUAAUACCGCAUACGUCCUGAGGGAGAAAGUGGGGGAUCUUCGGACCUCACGCUAUCAGAUGAGCCUAGGUCGGAUUAGCUAGUUGGUGGGGUAAAGGCCUACCAAGGCGACGAUCCGUAACUGGUCUGAGAGGAUGAUCAGUCACACUGGAACUGAGACACGGUCCAGACUCCUACGGGAGGCAGCAGUGGGGAAUAUUGGACAAUGGGCGAAAGCCUGAUCCAGCCAUGCCGCGUGUGUGAAGAAGGUCUUCGGAUUGUAAAGCACUUUAAGUUGGGAGGAAGGGCAGUAAGUUAAUACCUUGCUGUUUUGACGUUACCAACAGAAUAAGCACCGGCUAACUUCGUG